UCGGGAAUUUUGGGCAAUGGGCGAAAGCCUGACCCAGCAACGCCGCGUGAAGGAUGAAGUAUUUCGAUAUGUAAACUUCGUAAGAAUAGGAAGAAUAAAUGACGGUACUAUUUGUAAGGUCCGGCUAACUACGUGCCAGCAGCCGCGGUAAUACGUAGGGACCAAGCGUUGUUCGGAUUUACUGGGCGUAAAGGGCGCGUAGGCGGUGUGUCAAGUCAGUUGUGAAAUCUCCGAGCUUAACUCGGAACGGUCAACUGAUACUGUCACACUAGAGUGCAGAAGGGGCAAUCGGAAUUCUUGGUGUAGCGGUGAAAUGCGUAGAUAUCAAGAGGAACACCUGAGGUGAAGACGGGUUGCUGGGCUGACACUGACGCUGAGGCGCGAAAGCCAGGGGAGCAAACGGGAUUAGAUACCCCCGUAGUCCCUGAGCGGGCUGGCAAGGCGCAU
Molecule: ribosomal RNA, 447 nt
Filed under: uncultured bacterium
Lineage: Bacteria
Description: bacterial SSU rRNA
Rfam family: Bacterial small subunit ribosomal RNA
Source: RNAcentral